GACGAGUGGCGAACUGGGGAGUAACACGUGGGUCACCUGCCCUUGAAGUAGGGGAUAACACUUGGAAACAGGUGCUAAUACCGGAUAACAACCAAAACCACCUGGUUUUGGUUUAAAAGAUGGCUUCGGCUAUCACUUUAGGAUGGACCCGCGGCGUAUUAGCUUGUUGGUAAGGUAACGGCCUACCAAGGCAAUGAUACGUAGCCGACCUGAGAGGGUAAUCGGCCACAUUGGGACUGAGACACGGCCCAAACUCCUACGGGAGGCAGCAGUAGGGAAUCUUCCACAAUGGACGAAAGUCUGAUGGAGCAACGCCGCGUGAGUGAUGAAGGGUUUCGGCUCGUAAAACUCUGUUGUUGGAGAAGAACAGGUGUGAGAGUAACUGUUCACAUCUUGACGGUAUCCAACCAGAAAGCCACGGCUAACUACGUGCCAGCAGCCGCGGUAAUACGUAGGUGGCAAGCGUUGUCCGGAUUUAUUGGGCGUAAAGCGAGCGCAGGCGGUUUCUUAGGUCUGAUGUGAAAGCCUUCGGCUUAACCGGAGAAGUGCAUCGGAAACCAGGAGACUUGAGUGCAGAAGAGGACAGUGGAACUCCAUGUGUAGCGGUGAAAUGCGUAGAUAUAUGGAAGAACACCAGUGGCGAAGGCGGCUGUCUGGUCUGUAACUGACGCUGAGGCCCGAAAGCAUGGGUAGCGAACAGGAUUAGAUACCCUGGUAGUCCAUGCCGUAAACGAUGAGUGCUAAGUGUUGGAGGGUUUCCGCCCUUCAGUACUGCAGCUAACG
RNAcentral lists this ribosomal RNA (783 nucleotides) under uncultured bacterium. Its description in RNAcentral is "bacterial SSU rRNA". It matches the Rfam family "Bacterial small subunit ribosomal RNA", at positions 90 to 857 of the family's 1533-position model. The record is from RNAcentral.